GGUGGUUUUACUACUUAGUGGAAAGUCCAACUCUGAAAGUGCCGGGAGAUCUUGGAUGGUUAUGCUGCAGACAGAGAACCUCUCUUUUUCACAGCUCUCAAGAACAUUCCCUACAAAUUAUUACAAUCUCCAAGAAUUGGAGGCGCUGGAACUCCAACUGGAUACAGAUUAUGGAAAAGUUCGUAGCAUCCCUCACCCUUUGUCUACUCCGCUGGCAGUCAGUGCCUCAAGAGGAGUGGCUUGCGUCUUCUCAUCGCGGAGGCAUGCUUUGGUCUAUAUCCUCGAUGAGGACGAAGA
Molecule: long non-coding RNA, 297 nt
Organism: Triticum dicoccoides
Lineage: Eukaryota; Viridiplantae; Streptophyta; Magnoliopsida; Poales; Poaceae
Exons: 3
Source: RefSeq, a predicted model, not a curated record